GGGAGCCCUAGCACAGGUGCUGCAUGGCCGUCGUCAGCUCGUGCCGUGAGGUGUUGGGUUAAGUCCCGCAACGAGCGCAACCCCCGCCGUUAGUUGCCAGCGGUUCGGCCGGGCACUCUAACGGGACUGCCCGCGAAAGCGGGAGGAAGAGGGGACGACGUCUGGUCAGCAUGGCCCUUACGGCCUGGGCGACACACGUGCUACAAUGCCCACUACAAAGCGAUACCACCCGGCAACGGGGAGCUAAUCGCAAAAAGGUGGGCCCAGUUCGGAUUGGGGUCUGCAACCCGACCCCAUGAAGCCGGAAUCGCUAGUAAUCGCGGAUCAGCCAUGCCGCGGUGAAUACGUUCCCGGGCCUU
RNAcentral lists this ribosomal RNA (359 nucleotides) under uncultured Thermus sp. RNAcentral's name for it is "bacterial SSU rRNA". It matches the Rfam family "Bacterial small subunit ribosomal RNA", at positions 1022 to 1382 of the family's 1533-position model. Lineage: Bacteria; Thermotogati; Deinococcota; Deinococci; Thermales; Thermaceae. The record is from RNAcentral.